RNAcentral lists this transfer RNA (85 nucleotides) under Blautia sp. RNAcentral describes it as "tRNA-Tyr". It matches the Rfam family "tRNA". From Rfam's summary of the family: Transfer RNA (tRNA) molecules are approximately 80 nucleotides in length. Their secondary structure includes four short double-helical elements and three loops (D, anti-codon, and T loops). Lineage: Bacteria; Bacillati; Bacillota; Clostridia; Lachnospirales; Lachnospiraceae. The record is from RNAcentral.
CGGCGAGUAUACCGUAAAUGGCUAGCGGGGCAGACUGUAAAUCUGUUGGCUUCGGUCUCUGAAGGUUCGAGUCCUUCCUCGCCGA